GUGGGAUUGCACAGGUCGACCGAACGAUGGGAGGAGCAGGGUCUCCUUUGAAGGGUGCCUCUUAACUAACCUAAUAUAUUAGGCUUGCUUGGCUUUCUCUUAGCUUCCCCUCACUUGUCCCACAUAUGAAGAGCAAGAGGAAUCGGGUUCCAGUGAGCAAUGAAUCUACUCGUGCCUACUUACUCUAGCAGUAGUUCAAGCUUGCCCUCUAGUACCCUUACUGCUACUGC
RNAcentral lists this long non-coding RNA (230 nucleotides) under Phoenix dactylifera (date palm). RNAcentral describes it as "long non-coding RNA (PDAC_LNC014641)". The record is from RNAcentral. Lineage: Eukaryota; Viridiplantae; Streptophyta; Magnoliopsida; Arecales; Arecaceae.